This 301-nucleotide ribosomal RNA is filed under the name uncultured bacterium. Its description in RNAcentral is "partial 16S ribosomal RNA". It matches the Rfam family "Bacterial small subunit ribosomal RNA", at positions 509 to 807 of the family's 1533-position model. The record is from RNAcentral.
CAGUCGCCACGGUAAUACGAAGGGGGCUAGCGUUGCUCGGAAUUACUGGGCGUAAAGCGUGCGCAGGCGGUUUGUUAAGACAGAUGUGAAAUCCCCGGGCUCAACCUGGGAACUGCAUUUGUGACUGGCAAGCUAGAGUGUGGCAGAGGGGGGUGGAAUUCCGCGUGUAGCAGUGAAAUGCGUAGAUAUGCGGAGGAACACCGAUGGCGAAGGCAGCCCCCUGGGCCAACACUGACGCUCAUGCACGAAAGCGUGGGGAGCAAACAGGAUUAGAUACCCCAGUAGUCCCUGUCUCUUAUAC